RNAcentral lists this ribosomal RNA (434 nucleotides) under uncultured Lachnospiraceae bacterium. RNAcentral describes it as "partial 16S ribosomal RNA". It matches the Rfam family "Bacterial small subunit ribosomal RNA", at positions 341 to 792 of the family's 1533-position model. The record is from RNAcentral. Lineage: Bacteria; Bacillati; Bacillota; Clostridia; Lachnospirales; Lachnospiraceae.
ACGGAAGGCAGCAGUGGGGAAUAUUGGACAAUGGGGGAAACCCUGAUCCAGCGACGCCGCGUGAGUGAAGAAGUAUUUCGGUAUGUAAAGCUCUAUCAGCAAGGAAGAAAAUGACGGUACUAGACUAAGAAGCUCCGGCUAAAUACGUGCCAGCAGCCGCGGUAAUACGUAUGGAGCAAGCGUUAUCCGGAUUUACUGGGUGUAAAGGGAGCGUAGACGGCAAAGCAAGUCUGAAGUGAAAUCCCGGGGCUCAACCCCGGAACUGCUUUGGAAACUGUUUAGCUAGAGUGCAGGAGAGGUAAGCGGAAUUCCUAGUGUAGCGGUGAAAUGCGUAGAUAUUAGGAGGAACACCAGUGGCGAAGGCGGCUUACUGGACUGUAACUGACGUUGAGGCUCGAAAGCGUGGGGAGCAAACAGGAUUAGAUACCCUGGUA